Long non-coding RNA from Mus caroli (Ryukyu mouse), 967 nucleotides. RefSeq lists it as uncharacterized. Lineage: Eukaryota; Metazoa; Chordata; Mammalia; Rodentia; Muridae. The record is from RefSeq and is a predicted model, not a curated record.
UUUAAUCCUGCUCUGGCAAGGGAUCAUAUCCAGAGACAUUUUAGGACUAUGUGAUCCAGCUGGACUGCAGAAAACCUUUAAUAUACACCUUUAAUCCCUAACAAUGAAGGGAUGAAAAUAAAGAACAAAUAAAUGAACUUGGAACGCUGUCUGCUGAUACUGAAAUUCAGACCUCAACCUUCUUCAUGAUUUGCAUCUGCCACCCUGGACACAAAGAUUGUAACCCAGAGUGGAGAGACUGAAGAAUGAAUCAGCUGCACUGAUCGUGAUCUCCAAGGAUCUGAUAUCCAUGUCUAGAUAUGUGAUCUCUCUCCUGAUUGGAUCUGACUCCAUUCUCUAUUUGAAUACACCUUCUCCAUCAAUCAGAAGCAAGAAGAGCAAAUAAACUUAUCUGGAGGGGAAGAUUUGAUCAGUCAGGCUGCUGGUGAUUCUCCAGGACUUAUCUAGUCCUGGAUAUAACCACUGCCAGACUGAAUGGUGCUAAAGAGAAGGGAGAGUGCUGUGUCACUGUCAGCAGACACAGCCAGUGGAAAGCUGGAAAGCCUGUGCUCAUUUAUUCAGAGUCUCCAUGCACUGAUUGCUUAGCUCCAAGUUUUUAUAGUAGCUGUCACCCUAUAGGAAAUUCAGGUAUCUGAUUUGAAGUGUGAUUUACUUUUAUCAGUCAUGAAUGUUUGUGUCUUCUUCAAAGAAGAUACAAGGUUCAAGCUUCAGCUUAUGACACAGACUAGGGAAUAUCUGACAUAUUCAGAUAUUUUUGUUGGCUCCUGUGAGAACAACUGUAGCAGGAAAUACCAUCAAUUAACCACCAUGAAACCUCUGAAAAAGCCAUAGUUAGAUCAUACAGUACCCAGAAUCAAAUUACUCUUCAUACAGUGAUAAUACCCUGUUGGCAUUAAUGGCAAGGGGCAUUUUUAGAUACAACCACAAUUUAUCAUGUUAUUAUUGUUUUAAUUUACUAGAUUGUCUA